This 2539-nucleotide long non-coding RNA is filed under the name Mus pahari (shrew mouse). RNAcentral's name for it is "RIKEN cDNA D030047H15 gene (MGP_PahariEiJ_G0002818.1)". Lineage: Eukaryota; Metazoa; Chordata; Mammalia; Rodentia; Muridae. The record is from RNAcentral.
GUGGGCGUUGGUCGGCAAGCCGGAAGCUGGCCCUAGACGGUGGCCCCGUGGGGACAAGCGCCUCCCGGCCUCUCGUGCGCGCUCACAGCCGCCGAGUUUUGACUCAGCAGUCGUUAGUCCCUCAGAGGGAAAGCACAGGGACAGGAGUUGUGAGGCUGCGCACUGCGCUAGGACGAUUUUAAAUAACUAAAUAAAUAGAUAAAUAAAUAAGUGGGUGGAGGGAAGUGGGAUAAAGAUGAAUCCUCCCUUGGAAGGUUUGUUUAGUGAAUAAAAUUGGAAAGGCGCACCUGGCGUGGGAAACAGCGAGUGCGAACCAAAGGAAGCGGGAAACGCGUCGCUUGCGGAGUGGGAGUAGCCACUGGACUGUGACGCUGGAGAAGAUAGACACGCAGAAAGGACCGGCUACUGUGACCACCAUCCUGGAGGCCAGCAGAAACUCUGUAACCUCGAUGCUGAGUGGUACAGCCAAUAUUCUGCCAGGAUGGACUAAUACGCUUUUGCUCCAAGCAUGCCACCAGCACUGGCAACCUUCAGUGCAUGGGACCCAGGCAGCCUCUUUGGAGAGCAUGUUGCUUGCUGGAAACCCGCCUGUUUCCCUCCCCUGAGCAACUCGCUCUACUCACACAACCACCAGCCAUUUGCUCUGCUUUGCCAGGCCCAGGAGGGUGAAGAGACAAACCAGAAGCACCAAGAGCAGCAGGAGGACAUAGGCCAACCACCUGCAGGACGGAGGACGGAGGAGACAGUGAGCCUCAGGAGGCUAUCAGCACCCCCGAACCACCCCAACCCAAUCUGGUCCUGUGACCUCCCUGCUGCCCGGUGACAUGAUACAUGGUCUCACAAGACCCCGGAGCGCUCUGCAGCAUAGGUGUGGGACUGAAGCACCUGGUUCCUACCUUGACCACUUCACAUACGAGUUCUGUGCUUGUGGGCACAACGGUCGACCUCUGAAUAGGAUUCCCCAACUGGUAGGGUGUCAGUCACCCGUGACCUAAUUGAAUAUUUCAGAGGUAUGGUGCAAGGGUCUCAACUACCCAAUUAGCCAUGUAACCUGUUUGCCUCAGUUUCCCUACCAGUCACAUGAAGGCAUAAUAGGGUCAACCUCAAAUUCUGUUGCGAGGUAAAUGAGUGGGCUUGUGGAUAUAGUUAAUGUUAUAAAUCACUAUCCAGGGGGUUUUGAAUGCUACAUCAUGUUUACUUAAGUAAGUAAGGCACCAGGACCGCAGGGGAGGAUGCUUGGGCGGUCCCAAGUAGUGCUCAGCACACUGCAAAUGCUCAGCUGUAGUGUCAUUCUUAGCAGUUCCCAUGGAGCUGAGGUUUGCACCCCGAGUCCCUGUCCCUGACCACACUGCCAGGCUCACCUCCGCGGCCCUGAUGCAUAGGGCCUCUCUAAUGUCAGACACUUUUCCAGAGCAUCUUCCCAGGAUCGCGUUCACGGCUGCCACUACCUCCCUGUCCAAGCUCCCGGGAUCCUAGUAACCAUGACAGAGAACCUUCCUGCCGCCCUCUGACUUGGUGCCCCACCGUGUAUCCACAGCAGGGAUUGUUUCAGCCCCAGGGUGCUUGUACCGAGGAGCAUGGCCUCCUGCUUGGGCAUAGGAGAUUCAGGAGUAUCGGCUCAAAGCAAGCAGGAAUGAAAUAACUCUAAGUAGGUGAAGACUGGUUGUGUCGGCUGCUGAGAUGGAUGGCUGCCCCAGAGGGCUGCAUAGCUUGUCCGGUCCCCUUUAGUAUGGCCCUUCUAAACACCCUGACACAAGCUGCCUGCCUGUCCCCAGACAAGCCCCUUCCUAUUUAUUUUCCUCCAAAGCACUCAUUACCCACCUUACAGGAAAUGUGUUUUGCUUUUUAAAAAUAUUUUUAUUCUUAUAUGUACAAGUGUUUUGCUUACAUGUAUGUAUGUCUACCAAAUGCAUGCCUGGUGUCUGCAGAGGUGAGAAGAAAGUCUUGGAUCCCACAGCGCUGGAGUUACAGAUAGUUGUGAGCCACCAUAUGAGUGCUGGGAACUGAACCCAGGUCCUUUACAAAGCCCAGCAAGUGCUCUUAACCACGGGACCAUCUCUCCAGGCCUCCCCUCUCCCUCUUGAUGCCACUAUGAACAGGCUAGGUAGGCAACUCUAUCCCCGAAUCAUAUUCCCAGCUCUUCAGUAGUGAAUUCUAGGUAAGUGAGCCACACCCCAAGCCUUCACGGGGGGGGGGGGGAUUCUAGGCAGAUGUUUUACCACUAAGUCACAUUCUCAAUCCUUUAUCAGCAGAUUCUAGGCAAGUAUUCUUCCAUUAUCACAUCCUCAGCCUUUUUACUUUUUAUUUGGAGACAAUGUCUCACUAAGUUAUUCAUACUGGCCUUGAGAUCUGUAGCCCAAACAGGGCUUGGGUUUUCAAUCCUUUUACUGAGUCUCUGGAGCAGUUGAGAUUACAGACCUAUUUCCCCAGGCCUGGCUUCGUGGGCCUAUUUUAUAUUGCUCUCCCAGCUGAGAAGGGCCCCUCCUAUGCGGGAUUUACUGUGUUAUCCCCUCUGCUUGGUACAUCUGUAUUUUCCUGG